Molecule: long non-coding RNA, 430 nt
Filed under: Triticum aestivum (bread wheat)
Lineage: Eukaryota; Viridiplantae; Streptophyta; Magnoliopsida; Poales; Poaceae
Description: long non-coding RNA (TAES_LNC013612)
Source: RNAcentral
UUGCGGGAAAAUGUGAUAACUUCGGGUGGAACUACUUGGUCGAUAUAACUGUUUAUCCAAUCCAAGUUCUCUAGAGCUACUGGGUAGAAUCCAGCUUAGCAGAUGCCCAUCCCUAACGUGAGUAAAUAGCACAUAAAACCAGAGGGUUUCACUGAGCUAGCAUAUGGGAUUUGCUAUACUUUUUUUUAUGAGAAAAGGGAUUUGCUAUACUUGACAGUAACACUACAAGAUUGGUUACACAGUUGCAUUAUCCUGCCAAUGCAGCCCAGUUACCGUAGUGUUCUGCUUCUUUGUCCUUAUAGGAUCACUUGUGGGAUUUCAGAUCCAAAACUUUGUAAACAAAAAUUCUAUGUGCGGCAUGUAAAUGUUAAUAGCAAUGAGGAGUGUUUGUCGAAAUCGCUCAUGUGGCAGCUUGGGGAAACAAAGAGUU